GGGUUUCUCUGUGUAGCUUUGUGCCUUUCCUGGAACUCACUUGGUAGCCCAGGCUGGCCUCGAACUCACAGAGAUCCGCCUGGCUCUGCCUCCCGAGUGCUGGGAUUAAAGGCGUGCGCCACCACCGCCCGGCUUUAAGACUACAUUUUAUACCCAUUCAAAAAGGCCAUUUCACUUGAGAUUUAUAUUAUCAAGAAGGGGGGAUUUGUAGAGGCCCAAAUUGCUCAGGGUCAGAGAAUCUCAGCUUGCUUUACCCAGCAGGGCUAUAUAAGGAGAUGAUUUGACCAUGGGUGUGGUUACCAGGUGUUUGGAAGUGUCCACACUUGGCAGUAUAGUGUGCUUUGAUGUAGCAAGGGAAAGUCUUUUGCCUUUCCUCUUCACAUGUUAUAUAAAUCCCUUUUGAAUAAACAUGUGGGAUGUUUGGUAUUGACCUAGGUCCUCCUGAAGAUAUCCUGUAUUUCUGUCUUUCCUCUUGUCAUCUAGGUCUAUCAUUCUACUUGAUGUUUUCUUAUCCUGUCUCAAGAGUAUUCUGGAAAAAGUGGGAGUAGGCCUCCCACACACUAUCUCCUUGGAUAAAGAUCUUCUGGAGGCUCCACUGCCCCCAACUUCACUCACAUUGGUUUGCCCUGAUUAAUGGUCUGAACUGUGUUAUAUACAGAAGAAGGCCAGAAUCAUCAGCCACAGCAAAGCCACAGGGAAGUCAGAAUGGAUAUGCUUCACCUACUGUGGGUCAGUAGCUUACCCACAAGUCACCAGAAGUAAAAGCUUGUUAAAGUCUUGGAGAAGAAAGAUGGAGAAAGCACAGGACUAUAAAUAUCUGAGUGAAAAUAUAAUUAUGAUGAUUUCAUACAGAAAAAGAUAAAUAAAUGUCUGAAAUAACUCAAGAAUGAUAAUGGAAACAUGACAACUUUUGCUAAAGAAAUAUAAAGAUCAUUAGUGACUAUAAUGAACAACCAGAGCUGACAAAUCAGAGAACCAAGGAUUGACAGAACACUGUUCCUGAAUGCAUGCAAGUGUCGAACCAAAAUGCACAGGGAAUCUGAUCUGGUAUGUUAUAUAUGAUAAAGAUGAAUAAGUCAUAAGAUUCUUCCAAUAAAAUAAGAGCUGGUUAUGGUAGCUUCACUACUGAACUUCAUCUUUUUUUAAUAAAGAAGACAGAUUUAUGUCAAAAUAUUUGUAUAAAUUAAAUGAAGUAAAUAUUUAAAUUAAUGUCAUUGGGUCAGUAUUACUCUGUUACCAAAACUAGACAAGGAUGUAAUGACAAUCAAGAAAACUAUAGACUGAUUCCUCUUAUGAACAUUCAUGCAAAUCAGUUCAACAUAAAUUUCAAAAAUCAAGUCCAAUCAGCACAUGAAACAAUACUAUGAUCAAGUGAAAUUUCUCUCAGUGAUGCAAAUUUGCUCAACAUAUGCAAAUAAAUAAAUGAAAUAUGCCACAUCUUCAGAAAGAAGGGCAAAUCCGCAUGUUGAUCUCAAUAGAUAUGCAUUCAAUAUGUUUCCACAUCUGUUUAUUAUAAAAAGCAAUUUUCACAAGUUAGAUUGGGAAGGAAGGCACCUCAAUGUAAUGCCUGCUGCAUAUGACCACCUCAUAGCGAAGGUCAUCUUAAGUGAAAUUGUUUUUCUAAGAGCUGGCACAAGACAUGAAUGCUUACUUUCAACAUUCUUUUCAUUAUAACACUGGAAUCUUAGCCAGUUCAAUUAGGCAGAUGAAAAAUAGAAAACAUGCACACAAGAAGUGGGGAGGUUAAAACGUCUCUGUUGAUAGGUGAAAUGAUUCAAUUUCUACAGAAACCUAAACAAUGCACAUGAAAACUUGAAGUAACUCUUUAAGCUGUAAGAAACCAAGUCAACAUGUAAGAACUAGAACCAUUUUAAUAAACCAGUAAGGAGUUUUCCAAAAAGAAUUCUUGAAUGAAAUCAAAUUCAGAAUAAUUACAAUAAUAUUUCUGGGAAUAAAUUUGGUUAAGUAACCAGAAGACCUCUAAUGAAAGUUACAAAACACAAAUUGAGAAAUGAAAUGAGAUAUUACCAUACCACAAACAACAAUAAGAACUUUGAUACUGUCAAAAUACCACACUGUGGAAUCCAACUCAACAAUCCAAAGAAACCUCAAUAAAAAAAACAUAUGGAGUAUUAUUCACACAAAUUGAAAAAAAUCCUAAAACUUCUAUGAAAGCAAAAUAAGCCCCAAUUAACAAAAGGAAUCUCAAACAAAGAUGACCAAAUCCUUGGAGACAUCACAAUACUUGCCAUAAAGAAAUACUACAGGGAUGUGUUAACCAAGAUAUCAUGGUACAUGGUACUAACCACUUGGGUAAUGAAUAAACUGAUUCAUUGAAAUAAUGACUCAAUGUAUUGAAUGGUGGAAAGAAUAGUGUUCUCAGAAAGCAAUUCACAAACCUAUAGUCAACAUUUUCUUCACUGAGGUAUCAAAACUAUGAACUGGAGAAAGUAAAUCCUACUCGGAAGAUGGUGCUUAGCAAAUUGACUAUAAAGGUAAAUAAAAACUUCAUCUACAUCUUACCAUAUAAACAAUCAACUCAGAAUGGGUCAAUGACUUAGUGUAUGCCCAAACCUCUGAACUAACAGAAAACAAAAGAACAAGGGAAACAUUACAAGGUGCCAUUGUUUCAGCCCCAAUCUCUUCACCGUACACAAUGUCUUCAGGAUAUAACAUUGCCAUUUUUCAGAGGAAUCCACUGCAGCUAAGGUGACUUGGACAAGACUAGUUUCUUCAACGUGUCAUCAAGAAUGUGGGAGGGGCCUGUGAAGCCCCAUUUCUCUCUGGGGUUAUUGAUAGUUCAUGGUCACUUGGGAAAAGGGGUUGUCAUUUUCUUCUGUGGUGUAGCAAAAGAAAAGUUAUCCAAGAUCUAGUAAUCCUACACACACCACCACCACCACCACCACCACCACCACCACAACACACACCCUCAUGCAAGCAACCCUAGUUAACUUCAGUGUAUUACACCUGCAAACAAGCAUAAAAGUAAGAGGACUUUGGGAAAAGAAUGGUGUUAGCAGGAGGGGAAAGGGAUGAGAGCAGGCAAAACCUACAUGAUUCUGUCAGGGUACAAAUAGAUAAAUACCAUUUAAAAAACAUCAAUUUGGCAAAUUAUAGUUUGAAUGAUAUUCACAAAGCAUGUGAAAUAAAAUAAAAAGCAGACAAUCAGGUUUGUAUCAAGUAAGAAGUUUUCUCACAAAAAAAAGGAUAUAAUCAAUAGACUGAAGAGAUAACCUGUAGAGUGAGAGGAUAUACGCUAAAUUGUUUCUCGGAAAAAAAAGAUUAAUGUCUAGAAUCCUUAAAUUUAACAACUGAAAUACGCCAAUUUGAAGUGAACACAGAUCAAAAUGAACUUUUAUCUAAAGAAGCAAUAUAAAUAUCCAAUAGGUAAAUGGAAAACAUUCAAUGUCAUUGAUCAUUAGAUGCACAAGUCAAAACUGUUAGGAGAUGUUAGCUCACUUCAUUAGAAUGUGUAUUAGCAGAAAAGAAUUAGAAGUUAUGACAAAGAUGUGGGAAAAAGGCAAUGCCCAUACAUUCUUGAUAGGUACAGAAAUUAGUGCAGCCAUUAGCGAGAGCAGUAUGGAGGUUAUUUAAAAAUUAAAAAUGCAUCUGGCAUAUGGUACAUUAUCUGCAUUCUUGAGUAGACUCCGACCAUGGAAAGAACAUAUUAAGGAAACAUCUACAUGCUGUGUUUAAGGUCUCACUACUCACAGUAGCUGAGGUAAGUGAAGCCUAGAUGCCCAUCAAAAGAUAAAUGUAGUGAUAUGUUAACAGACACACAGAGUGGGGAGGGAGAGAAGGGAAGAAAGCAGAAGGAGAGUAGGGAGAGAGAGAUAAAGAGAGAAAGAAGUAUAUUCAUCCAUACGGAAAAUGAAAUCCUGUCACUUGCUAAAGUAAAAAGGGGGAACUAGGGGCUCAUCAUUCCUCUCCAUAUUCUAUUCUUUCCCUUGUUUUAUAUAUUUAAAAUUUUUUAUCGGUAGAUUCUGCUAGAGUAUCAGCUGCAGAUAAGCACUGGAGGGCUCCUGUUGCAAAGAUGGAAGGUUCUUUCUACUGGCACUUGGAGGAGACCCGAUCUGGUGUUGGUGUGGGCCCAGGUUUCUGUUUAUGUCUUUCCUCAGGACAAUGAGGUUCCUCUUUGGAUUCCUGAGUGCUGUGUGCACCCUGUGGCUGCUGUUGAGACCUAUUGGGCCUUUGUGAAAAACUCUCCCCUUCUGAUGCCAAUGGGGAUUGAGAGCCCAAUAUGGCCAGCUUUGGCGAGAUUAACAUAAGCCUAGGAACUGAAGUCAUGUGGUUGGAUUCUCCAGAAGAGCUGCCAGCUUAAUUUAUGCUGGGAUCAAGAAAAAUGGGCCUUGGUGGUUCGUGUUCCUGGAGUUGUAUCCAUCCCAGUGGAUGCCCACACGCUCCAGAAGGGAAUUUGACAUUGCUGCUGCCGUUGUUGCUGUUAUAGCAGUGGUGGCCACCGCAGCUCCCUCCAACCCAGAGAAGACUAUAAAAUCAAGGAAGAAAUUGGUGUCAUAAAAGAAAUGUUAUCAAUAUAAUCUCUAUGAUAACAAUACCAAACUGACAGAAAAGACACUGCCUUUCAGAAUCUAACACCCUGACCAAUGCAUAUCAUGAUUGAAUCCCUCCCCCUCUCACUUCAGUAAAGAGAGAAGUGUUGAAGUAGGUGACUGUGGUGAUAACAAAAGGUAGAAAAAAAUGGUCCUGUUUCUCAGUGAAAUUUCCAGGUGUUUCUAUUCACAGAAAUGAACUUUCAAAAGAUAGGGCCAGUCUGAAGCUCCUCUCAGCUCUCACUUUGCCCCCAUUUGAUUUCUCAUAGAAUGCCAUGUUGUCACAGAGGCUUUGUGUACAAAAAAACAGUGUUCCCUUCAUCUCUAGAUUGUCUGUUGCAGAAUAUCAUUUUAAGAUGUGUUACAUUUGUUUAUGCUGUGGAAUAUUUGUUUAAUGAUGCAAAGCUGUGUUGCAUUUCUUUAAGUUGCAUUUGUUUCACUCUGUGAAGCUGUGUUACUGUGCCUGUCUAAAAUACCUGAUGGUCUAAUAAAGAGCUGAAUGGCCAAUAGCAAGGCUGGAUAAAUGAAAGGUGGGGCUGGUAGGCAGAAUAAGUAGAUAGAGAAAUCUGGGAGGAAAAGAAGAAAGAGCAAGAGAACAAGGAGAGGAGGAGACCAGGGACCAGACACCUAGCCACACAGCCAAUCAUGGGGUAAAAGUGAAAGUAAGAUAUACAGAAGUAAGAAAAGGAAAAAGCCCAGAUGCAAAAGGUAGAUGGGAUAAAUUAAGAAAAGCUGACUAGUAACAAGCCAAGCUAAUGUCAGGCAUUUAUAAUUAAGAAGAAGCCUCUGGGUGUGAUUUAUCUACGAUCUGGGUGGCAGGCCCCCCAAAAGAGUAGAAAACAACCACCCACUUUUUGACAUUCCAAUGUGGGGCUAGAGUAAAAGAAAAUCUAACAACAGUCUAUCUCAUUACUGUGCCUAAAAUUUCUUCUCAGUAUUCAGACGACACCUGACAUAUGGAGGGGCUAAGUUGCCAAAGCCACAAAGGGAGGCUUGACUGUGUCCCUUUCCACCCUUUCUGCAAAUGACAUGAGAUUUCUUCAGGAUAUCUGGGCCUAAAAUCUCUUUCCACUCUUUUCCUAUGACUUCAUAUUAUUUAAUUUCCUAGGUUACUACAUACAUCCUUAUCUUGUAAAUACACUACUUUUCAAACUUAUGCUCUAGCUAGCUGUGUGCACAUAGCACUACUGCUAGAAUUAAAGCCCUAUGAUGGAAAAGGCUCUAUCUUUUUUCUCUUUAAACCUUCAAAAUUAAUUGGUAAUGAGUAGCCUGGACAUGAUGUUCCUCAAAUCGCCAAAUACUGCUUUUUAUUCAAAUGUCACACAGUAAUAAAACAUGACAUUUUUUUACAAAAUUUAAACAUCAUAAUAAAACAACUUUAAAAAAUGAAAUAUUCUCCAAUAAUUUCAUUAAUUUUCCAAAAAUAUCACUAGAAUUCUGAUGAUAGAAUUUAUUAUUGUAAGCCAAAGAUUUAUUAGGGUUGGCAAUCCUAUGCCUGAAAGUAUUUGAGAUUAUAGUGGGCCUCCGGCUCUCACCUGAAACUGUGUAAUCAGCAGUCUCUGCCACUUUCUAUGGGAUGCACCCAUUAUUGUGUGUCUGAGUAAUGAUUAAUUUGUGAUGGAGUCAUACUUUCCUGUUUGAUUUUUUUCUGUAUAUUUGCAGGACUUGUUUUAUUUCUCUUUUUUUUCCCUUUGGUCACAGUCUUAUCAGCUAGUCUCAAUAUAGGUCAUUCAUGGAGGCAGUGAGAUAGAAGGAGACAAUACUGAGAAGACACUACUUUCCCAUUUUAUUGUAUAGAUAAAGAUGCUUUGGGACAGAAGAUUUGUUUUUUACUAAUUAUGAAGUCUUGGAAUGAAGAAAACUGUACCCUUCUUGUUUAUCCUAGGUUAAUGAAAGUUGAGCUAAUUAAAUAACCAACUCUUAUAUUUUAAAUUUAAAUUAAAUUUACUUGGUUAUAAACACUACACAUACUGAAUGCCAUGUGACCAUGUGAGGUUUCGAUAUAGGUUAAAAUCAGGUUAAACAUUUCUAUCACUACAUUUUAUUUAACAUUUCUGUAUGAUAGAACAUAUAAAUGAUUUUUCUGGCUAUUGUAAACACUGUAUAAUUGUUUUCUAUUGUUAUUGUAUUUUUCACCUGUGUACUAGACUUCUCUAAUCUAGCUAUCAUCAAGAAUCAUUGAUCAUCGUUUUCUUGUCCAACACUCCCUCCAUUCUUUGCCCAGUCUUUGUUCACCACUAUUCUAGUUUCAAGCUUUAUGACAUAAUUUUUAACAUUCUGAAUAUACAUGUACAAUGCAGUA
This is a long non-coding RNA of Peromyscus californicus insignis, 6852 nucleotides long. RefSeq lists it as uncharacterized. The transcript has 3 exons. NCBI's taxonomy places the organism in Eukaryota, Metazoa, Chordata, Mammalia, Rodentia, Cricetidae. The record is from RefSeq and is a predicted model, not a curated record.